UGAGUAACGCGUGGGUAACCUGCCCUGUACAGGGGGAUAACAGUCAGAAAUGACUGCUAAUACCGCAUAAGACCACAGCACCGCAUGGUGCAGGGGUAAAAACUACCGGUGGUACAGGAUGGACCCGCGUCUGAUUAGCUGGUUGGUGAGGUAACGGCUCACCAAGGCGACGAUCAGUAGCCGGCUUGAGAGAGUGAACGGCCACAUUGGGACUGAGACACGGCCCAAACUCCUACGGGAGGCAGCAUG
This 249-nucleotide ribosomal RNA is filed under the name uncultured bacterium. Its description in RNAcentral is "partial 16S ribosomal RNA". It matches the Rfam family "Bacterial small subunit ribosomal RNA", at positions 107 to 353 of the family's 1533-position model. The record is from RNAcentral.